This 245-nucleotide ribosomal RNA is filed under the name uncultured bacterium. RNAcentral's name for it is "partial 16S ribosomal RNA". It matches the Rfam family "Bacterial small subunit ribosomal RNA", at positions 524 to 768 of the family's 1533-position model. The record is from RNAcentral.
UACGGAGGGUGCAAGCAUUGAUCGGAUUUAUUGGGCGUAAAGGGCGCGUAGGCGGCCAGGUAAGUCAAAUGUGAAAUUCCACGGCUCAACCGUGGCGCUGCAUUUGAAACUGUCUGGCUUGAGCAUAGUUAGGGAAAACGGAAUUCCACGUGUAGCGGUGAAAUGCGUAGAUAUGUGGAAGAACACCGGUGGUGAAGACGGUUUUCUGGGCUAUAGCUGACGCUGAGGCGCGAAAGCUAGGGGAG